UCGCGGCCUUGGGCUGUUUUGGCGCCGU
Molecule: non-coding RNA, 28 nt
Filed under: Bombyx mori (domestic silkworm)
Lineage: Eukaryota; Metazoa; Arthropoda; Insecta; Lepidoptera; Bombycidae
Source: RNAcentral